GUUCCCUCUUUCUCUGUGUCGGCCUUGUUAUUAUCCACAUCCUGUUGUUAUUGUGGGUGUGUAUAAAACCCCUCCACUCAGUGUAAAGGUGUCAGCAGCAUGUCAGUCUGAACUUCCACUACAUAGAGGAAAAGGAGACGUUCCCUCUUUCUCUGUGUCGGCCUUGUUAUUAUCCACAUCCUGUUGUUAUUGUGGGUGUGUAUAAAACCCCUCCACUCAGUGUAAAGGUGUCAGCAGCAUGUCAGUCUGAACUUCCACUACAUAGAGGAAAAGGAGACGUUCCCUCUUUCUCUGUGUCGGCCUUGUUAUUAUCCACAUCCUGUUGUUAUUGUGGGUGUGUAUAAAACCCCUCCACUCAGUGUAAAGGUGUCAGCAGCAUGUCAGUCUGAACUUCCACUACAUAGAGGAAAAGGAGACGUUCCCUCUUUCUCUGUGUCGGCCUUGUUAUUAUCCAGAUCCUGUUGUUAUUGUGGGUGUGUAUAAAACCCCUCCACUCAGUGUAAAGGUGUCAGCAGCAUGUCAGUCUGAACUUCCACUACAUAGAGGAAAAGGAGACGUUCCCUCUUUCUCUGUGUCGGCCUUGUUAUUAUCCAGAUCCUGUUGUUAUUGUGGGUGUGUAUAAAACCCCUCCACUCAGUGUAAAGGUGUCAGCAGCAUGUCAGUCUGAACUUCCACUACAUAGAGGAAAAGGAGACGUUCCCUCUUUCUCUGUGUCGGCCUUGUUAUUAUCCACAUCCUGUUGUUAUUGUGGGUGUGUAUAAAACCCCUCCACUCAGUGUAAAGGUGUCAGCAGCAUGUCAGUCUGAACUUCCACUACAUAGAGGAAAAGGAGACGUUCCCUCUUUCUCUGUGUCGGCCUUGUUAUUAUCCAGAUCCUGUUGUUAUUGUGGGUGU
Molecule: long non-coding RNA, 894 nt
Organism: Oncorhynchus keta (chum salmon)
Lineage: Eukaryota; Metazoa; Chordata; Actinopteri; Salmoniformes; Salmonidae
Exons: 5
Source: RefSeq, a predicted model, not a curated record